UUAAAUCCUAAGGGGUGGCAUGUUUUAAAUGCCUGAGAUGCUAAGCGAACCCUUUGAACCUGAUCCGGAUGAUGCCGGCGUAGGAAUAGGACAACUCACAGAG
Molecule: non-coding RNA, 103 nt
Filed under: Nitrincola nitratireducens
Lineage: Bacteria; Pseudomonadati; Pseudomonadota; Gammaproteobacteria; Oceanospirillales; Oceanospirillaceae
Description: TPP sequence
Rfam family: TPP riboswitch aptamer (THI element)
About the family: Vitamin B(1) in its active form thiamin pyrophosphate (TPP) is an essential coenzyme that is synthesised by coupling of pyrimidine and thiazole moieties in bacteria. The previously detected thiamin-regulatory element, thi box was extended, resulting in a new, highly conserved RNA secondary structure, the THI element, which is widely distributed in eubacteria and also occurs in some archaea.
Source: RNAcentral